GAAAGCCAGCGCAAACAAACUAGCAAGCUACGGAGUUUGCCGCCAAUGUAUUUCUUGUAAAGUGUAUAAAAACGAAUAUGGAAGCUGGACAAAUAAGAUGCCAAAAACCAACGACUUUCAUGAUGUAUUAGACAGGAAGGAGGAACUGGUUUUCUCCUCCAUUUGAAAACCGGGACUUACCAGCACUAUACUGUCUGUUUCCAAUCAAAGCAAGUCAUCAGAAUCAGAAACGAGGCAGCCAGUCAGGGAAGGAGAAAAACUAUCUAUGGCAACGCUGCUGUCACUUUCACUCAUUGAGACAUGUUUCUCUGGGUGCAUCAAGCUUCGUUAAUGACCCGCCUCCUUGGUCCAUGUACCCCACCGUGAUUGGUUGGAAGGAAAACAAAUAAUGCUGAGAACAGUGGAAGAAGUCUCAUCACUGUGCCGACCCUGGACAGUUACACUUGCUUGCUAGCAUUGUAUUAUAGUCAACGAUCAAUCAAUCAAUCAAUGUUUACGUAUAUCUCCCUAAAUCACUAGUGUCUCAAAGGGCUGCACAAACCACAACACAAACCACUAUGACAUCCUCGGUAGGCCCACAUAAAGGCAAGGAAAACUCACACCCAGUGGGACGUCGGUGACAAUGAUGACUAUGAGAACCAUGGAGAGGACCACAUGGGCAACCCCCCCCCCCCCCCACAUAUGUGGGCAACCCCCCGCCCACACACACACACACACACACUAGGGGACCAAAAGCAAUGGAUGUCGAGCGGGUCCAACAUGAUACUGUGAAAGUUCAAUCCAUACUGGAUCCAACACAGCCGCGAGAGUCCAGUCCAAAGCGGAUCCAACACAGCAGCGAGAGUCCCGUCCACAGAAGAUGGACAUAACUUUUCUUUUCCAACUAUGGGAAUGAAGAAAAUGGUGUGAAAGACACUACUGAUGAUAUUUAUUGACCAAGAAUGUCGAAAUAAUAUCUAAAUGGCAGAUGUUCAUCCAUGAAAAUAUGUAGAAGCUGACAUGUAUCCAUGAAAAUAUAAAGAAGCAGCUGAUGGUUUGACAGAGAAGCAGCUCAAAAGAGGGAGUCCACUCUCCAAGAAAAAUACAGUACAUUGUUAUAAGAUUACUUCAUAGAACUACUGUAUUUCUUAGUUGUAUUGUAUUAUUUUUCAUAUAGUAUUUGUCAUCUAGAAGUAUUUGUAAUUGUGAUUUCAAUAGGCGACGUUGAUUUGAAAUACAAGUGUAUUAUGUAAAGAGCUCUGUUGCAGAACCAAUAAAGCAUGUAAGUUGAGCUACUAUUGCAUCAGUAAUUGGUAAAAUGCGGCAAAAGUAGUUGGGUUGAAAUAAUCUCUGUUUCUUCCUGCUCCUUUUUCGGAUAUGUUAAUGUGAUCGUGUAAUGUCCGAAGCAUACACUGUAAAACUGCCAAUGACCAUGACUGUGAUCCGUGUGUGCAAAUGUAAAUGUGUUACAUAUCCAUGACAUUAAACCCACGCUAAGUAUUG
Nerophis ophidion (straightnose pipefish) is the source of this 1482-nucleotide long non-coding RNA. RefSeq lists it as uncharacterized. The transcript has 3 exons. Lineage: Eukaryota; Metazoa; Chordata; Actinopteri; Syngnathiformes; Syngnathidae. The record is from RefSeq and is a predicted model, not a curated record.